RNAcentral lists this transfer RNA (59 nucleotides) under Demodex folliculorum. Its description in RNAcentral is "tRNA-Trp". Lineage: Eukaryota; Metazoa; Arthropoda; Arachnida; Trombidiformes; Demodicidae. The record is from RNAcentral.
AAAAUCUUAAGUUAUAAACUAUUAACCUUCAAAGUUAAAAAAACCAAAAGUAGAUUUUA